Molecule: unclassified non-coding RNA, 334 nt
Filed under: soil metagenome
Description: partial contains 5.8S ribosomal RNA, internal transcribed spacer 2, and large subunit ribosomal RNA
Rfam family: 5.8S ribosomal RNA (bases 1-120)
Source: RNAcentral
GAUGAAGAACGUAGCGAAAUGCGAUACGUAAUGUGAAUUGCAGAAUUCAGUGAAUCAUCGAAUCUUUGAACGCACAUUGCGCCCGCCAGUAUUCUGGCGAGCAUGCCUGUUCGAGCGCCAUUUCAACCAUCAAGCCCCAGGCUUGUGUUGGAGCCCUGCGGCUGCCGCAGCCUCCCAAAACCAGUGGCGGGCUCGCUAUCACACCGAGUGCAGUAGUUUACUCUUCGCUCAGGGCGUGUGGCGGGUGCUAGCCGUGAAACCCCCAACUUCUCAAGGUUGACCUCGGAUCAGGUAGGAAUACCCGCUGAACUUAAGCAUAUCAAUAAGCGGAGGA